GCCAGUUCAGAAGUUGAAACAAAGAGCUAAUAUCUAUUUCUGUGUUGAAAUAAGGAUCAAUCUUAAAUCCAGUAGAGUCAACAGGUGGAUUUAAAUGUGGAAGAUUAACAGCUUGUUUAUUUCAACCAUCUCUCGUUGAUUUCAAAUCAGGAAUUAAGUGCCAGGACCAUCAGAGUAAGGCUAUAUGUAACACUCCUGCAAACUGCAACUGGAAUCCAAAAGUAUUUCCCAAUAAAUAUGGUGACUACGAAUGUGAAACUGCAUCUGGGGAUAUGCAGUGUUUUGAAAUAUCUAAUCGUACAGACAAAUGCUCCUCAUAUGAGGAGUGUGGUUUCACACAAAGACUUCCAAAUAGUGCUGCUACCUGCUCAAUGUUCCAUCCUGGAAUCAAGUGUUUAACGGUGGAUAACAGUAGCGAAAUACUUCUAUGCCACAACUACGAAGAAUGCAGAUGGAAUCAUGAGAAUUACCCGAAUUAUAAAACCCACCAUGACUUCCAUAAAUGCA
Engraulis encrasicolus (European anchovy) is the source of this 507-nucleotide long non-coding RNA. RefSeq lists it as uncharacterized. The record is from RefSeq and is a predicted model, not a curated record. Lineage: Eukaryota; Metazoa; Chordata; Actinopteri; Clupeiformes; Engraulidae. The transcript is spliced from 3 exons.